Molecule: ribosomal RNA, 253 nt
Filed under: uncultured bacterium
Lineage: Bacteria
Description: partial 16S ribosomal RNA
Rfam family: Bacterial small subunit ribosomal RNA
Source: RNAcentral
UACGGGGGGUGCAAGCGUUGUCCGGAAUCAUUGGGCGUAAAGCGUUCGUAGGCGGUAUGUCAAGUCUGAUGUUAAAGCCCGGGGCUCAACUCCGGUUCGGCAUUGGAUACUGGCAAACUAGAAUGUGGUAGAGGUAAAGGGAAUUCCUGGUGUAGCGGUGAAAUGCGUAGAUAUCAGGAGGAACAUCGGUGGCGAAAGCGCUUUACUGGACCAUUAUUGACGCUGAGGAACGAAAGCCAGGGGAGCAAAUGGG